AUUGAACGCUGGCGGCAUGCCUUACACAUGCAAGACGAACGGCAGCAUAGGAGCUUGCUCCUGAUGGCGAGUGGCGAACGGGUGAGUAAUAUAUCGGAACGUGCCCUAGAGUGGGGGAUAACUAGUCGAAAGACUAGCUAAUACCGCAUACGAUCUACGGAUGAAAGGGGGGGAUCGCAAGACCUCAUGCUCCUGAAGCGGCCGAUAUCUGAUUAGCUAGUUGGUGGGGUAAAAGCCUACCAAGGCAACGAUCAGUAGCUGGUCUGAGAGGACGACCAGCCACACUGGGACUGAGACACGGCCCAGACUCCUACGGGAGGCAGCAGUGGGGAAUUUUGGACAAUGGGGGCAACCCUGAUCCAGCAAUGCCGCGUGAGUGAAGAAGGCCUUCGGGUUGUAAAGCUCUUUUGUCAGGGAAGAAACGGUAGUAGCGAAUAACUACUACUAAUGACGGUACCUGAAGAAUAAGCACCGGCUAACUACGUGCCAGCAGCCGCGGUAA
Molecule: ribosomal RNA, 502 nt
Filed under: uncultured bacterium
Lineage: Bacteria
Description: partial 16S ribosomal RNA
Rfam family: Bacterial small subunit ribosomal RNA
Source: RNAcentral